UACGAAGGGGGCUGGCGUUGUUCGGAUUUACUGGGCGUAAAGCGCACGUAGGCGGAUCGAUCAGUCAGGGGUGAAAUCCCAGGGCUCAACCCUGGAACUGCCUUUGAUACUGUCGAUCUGGAGUAUGGAAGAGGUGAGCGGAAUUCCGAGUGUAGAGGUGAAAUUCGUAGAUAUUCGGAGGAACACCAGUGGCGAAGGCGGCUCACUGGUCCAUUACUGACGCUGAGGUGCGAAAGCGUGGGGAGCAAACAGG
RNAcentral lists this ribosomal RNA (253 nucleotides) under uncultured bacterium. RNAcentral's name for it is "partial 16S ribosomal RNA". It matches the Rfam family "Bacterial small subunit ribosomal RNA", at positions 524 to 776 of the family's 1533-position model. The record is from RNAcentral.